AUAUAAAAAUUCAGUUCCAAUUGCACUGAAGUUUAUGCAUACCAUGGACCAGUCACUCUUUAUGUCGCUGGCUAUGAUGUUCCAGAUCCAAUGCAUUACAUAAUAUCCACAUUCAUAACAGCCGGUUUGAACGUGACUCUACAUAUGGAAAACAUUUGAACAUCGUAUACAUUACAUAAUUUCAUGACUUACCUAGACAACAAUAACGCAUGGUACAUAGCUGACUAACCUUUACUUCAAUCCACUUAGGUGCAACUGCCUUAGUUUCAGGAGACAAGGUCGUCUUCAAUUUCGUCAUUACACUGCUUUUAAAAAACCACAUCAACACAUAUACAACAUGUCAAUCAAUAAUGCCCAUUAAAGAAGGCUUGUAAAAAUUUAUAUGGUAUGAGAUAACCUAUUAAUUGUAGCUUUGAUAUGCAUAUCAGGUUUCCUACGCAAGGAACAGAACCAAACAACAACAUGUUGCCUAGGACACAAAACUACGAGUUGCCAAUGUGCCCUGCAUGUGAUGCACAUUAGAUACGUAUACACCCAAACAUCAUUUGAAGUAUGUUUGUUAAAUAACACUUACUGAUGGAAGUAAGGUCCAAUGUACACCUCUCGGUCAGAUUCCUUAAGCCAUCUUAGAAGAUAUUGUUCGCAUUCGCUGCGUCUUUCCUUUGAACAAACCAACGACUGUGGCUCAAGGAAUGCAUACAUGAAACCUUGACUGAAUAUCUGACUCCACUCAUGAAUAUACCUAUUCACAUGAUUUGAAAGUAUUGUAGUGGAUCAUGAUAUAGAAUGAAUGACGAAUAAAUAAAUGAAGGAUUUGACUUACAUUAACCAUAAUUGUAUGACAGAUAUGUUCAGACUUUUGUCUCCUGCUAUUAUUUCACUAACAUCUGAAUAUGUAAUGAAUAUCGAUGCAGAUGCAUCUACAAUUCCAAGAAAGCUCCCAUCAAAGUUGAUUUCAAGUGGGUUGUCGUAAAUAUCGAAACUAUACUUUAUCAAUCCACGCAACGGAUCAUCUGCGUCCACAUUAGUCGGCUUCGGCACAUGUGCAUCCUCGUUGUGUGGAAUACUUUGUGGAACCUACAUGGUUAAUGAAAGUGGACUAUCAGCAACUCGUUAUUGUUGUUCCCUAAUUACUAGCACCAAAUCCUUGCAGCAUUUCCAUUUCAUUGACACGAGUGCAGGGCUUCAGACCUUCAAACCAAGUCUUUUAGAAAGAAGUAUCCCGUUUGCGUGGUCUAGUUGGUGGAGGAGAAAUUCAGGAUAAUGACAUUUUAGUUGUCAACUUCCCAGGUUCUCCUGGAUCCUUCAAGUGGAGGG
Molecule: long non-coding RNA, 1317 nt
Organism: Glycine soja
Lineage: Eukaryota; Viridiplantae; Streptophyta; Magnoliopsida; Fabales; Fabaceae
Exons: 3
Source: RefSeq, a predicted model, not a curated record